GACGAACGCUGGCGGCGUGCCUAAUACAUGCAAGUAGAACGCACAGUUUAUACCGUAGCUUGCUACACCAUAGACUGUGAGUUGCGAACGGGUGAGUAACGCGUAGGUAACCUGCCUGGUAGCGGGGGAUAACUAUUGGAAACGAUAGCUAAUACCGCAUAAUAUUAAUUAUUGCAUUAUAAUUAAUUGAAAGGUGCAAUUGCACCACUACCAGAUGGACCUGCGUUGUAUUAGCUAGUAGGUGAGGUAACGGCUCACCUAGGCGACGAUACAUAGCCGACCUGAGAGGGUGAUCGGCCACACUGGGACUGAGACACGGCCCAGACUCCUACGGGAGGCAGCAGUAGGGAAUCUUCGGCAAUGGACGAAAGUCUGACCGAGCAACGCCGCGUGAGUGAAGAAGGUUUUCGGAUCGUAAAGCUCUGUUGUAAGAGAAGAACGGGUGUGAGAGUGGAAAGUUCACACUGUGACGGUAUCUUACCAGAAAGGGACGGCUAACUACGUG
Molecule: ribosomal RNA, 505 nt
Filed under: uncultured bacterium
Lineage: Bacteria
Description: partial 16S ribosomal RNA
Rfam family: Bacterial small subunit ribosomal RNA
Source: RNAcentral